RNAcentral lists this ribosomal RNA (384 nucleotides) under Pomatoschistus sp. WJC-2002. RNAcentral's name for it is "partial 16S ribosomal RNA". It matches the Rfam family "Bacterial large subunit ribosomal RNA", at positions 1963 to 2502 of the family's 2925-position model. Lineage: Eukaryota; Metazoa; Chordata; Actinopteri; Gobiiformes; Gobiidae. The record is from RNAcentral.
AAUCACUUGUCUUUUAAAUGAAGACCUGUAUGAAUGGCAUAACNAGGGCNUAACUGUCUCCUCUCCCCAGUCNNGAAAUUGAUCUUUCCGUGCAAAAGCGGGAAUGAACACAUAAGACGAGAAGACCCUAUGGAGCUUAAGACACAAGGCAGCAAACGUUAAAACCCCUGAGCAAACAGACAUAACCAAGUUGAUGCCUGCCCUUUUGUCUUUGGUUGGGGCGACCGCGGAGGAACAAAAAUCCCCCACGUGGAACAGGACCUGCUCCUCAAAACCAGAGCCUCAGCUCUAGUAAACAGAACAUCUGACCAAAAAGNUCCGGUACUACCGAUCAACGGACCGAGUUACCCUAGGGAUAACAGCGCAAUCCCCUUUCAGAGCCCA